This 483-nucleotide long non-coding RNA is filed under the name Lotus japonicus. Its description in RNAcentral is "long non-coding RNA (LJAP_LNC000619)". The record is from RNAcentral. Lineage: Eukaryota; Viridiplantae; Streptophyta; Magnoliopsida; Fabales; Fabaceae.
GUUAUUUUAUAAUUACAAAAAAGAAAAAAUACCAAAGAAACAAAAGCAUUAUAAAUACCCAAAACAAUGAAAGGAAGCACCAAAAAUCGAGUUUGGAGUGAUUGACAUGGAAGCUCAAGCUCUUUGCAAAAGAGCUUGAAGAUGCACCAAAACACCAAUUGAACCAGAACCAGUGAAAGCAGUCAACGAAGCAAUUACAGAGAGAAAGAGAGUGAAAGAUGUCUGACCUAGAUACAAUUCUGAAUAAUUCAACAAUUAAAUUGACGAGGUAAUUAUAUUCAUGUAUUUUCUGAAACAAAACGCGUACGUAUUCAAUGCCAAUUCCCCGAGACUUUGACAUGUUCCUACCAAUAUCUAUUCUUGAACUUUGGCUUAAGCCCUGAUUUAGAAAAAUCAAUCACAGUGAUUAUUGGCUUUUGCCUGCAACAUCUUCAACAAGUGAGUUAAAAUUUUAUUUACUUUGCAACAUCUUUUUUAAUACAC